UGUAAGCGUAUACCAAAGUUGUUGCAGUUAAAACGCUCGUAGUCGGAAUUUGGCAGUUCCGGAAGUGUGCACGUCGUGUGCGCACUUUGCGGGGACUGCUUUUGUGGUCUUGCGUAGGAUGAGGCACUUUCAUUAGUGAACGUCCUCACGCAACCACUCUUUACUGUGAGAAAGUCAGAGUGCUCAAAGCAGGCAUUUGCCGUGAAUGUAUUAGCAUGGAAUAAUAGAAUAGGACUCGGUUCUAUUUUGUUGGUUUGUUGGGACUGAGUAAUGAUUAAGAGGGACAGUUGGGGGCAUUUGUAUUCCGGCGCUAGAGGUGAAAUUCUUAGAUUGCCGGAAGACAAACUGCUGCGAAAGCGUCUGCCAAGGAUGUUUUCAUUGA
Molecule: ribosomal RNA, 382 nt
Filed under: uncultured eukaryote
Lineage: Eukaryota
Description: partial 18S ribosomal RNA
Rfam family: Eukaryotic small subunit ribosomal RNA
Source: RNAcentral